This 545-nucleotide ribosomal RNA is filed under the name uncultured beta proteobacterium. RNAcentral's name for it is "bacterial SSU rRNA". It matches the Rfam family "Bacterial small subunit ribosomal RNA", at positions 97 to 638 of the family's 1533-position model. Lineage: Bacteria; Pseudomonadati; Pseudomonadota; Betaproteobacteria. The record is from RNAcentral.
GGCGAACGGGUGCGUAAUGCAUGGGAAUCUGCCUAGUAGUGGGGAAUAACCCGGCGAAAGCCAGGCUAAUGCCGCAUACGACCUACGGGUGAAAGCGGGGGAUCGCAAGACCUCGCGCUAUUAGAUGAGCCCAUGUCGGAUUAGCUAGUUGGUAGGGUAACGGCCUACCAAGGCGACGAUCCGUAGCUGGUCUGAGAGGACGGCCAGCCACACUGGGACUGAGACACGGCCCAGACUCCUACGGGAGGCAGCAGUGGGGAAUUUUGGACAAUGGGGGCAACCCUGAUCCAGCGACGCCGCGUGUGUGAAGAAGGCCUGCGGGUUGUAAAGCACUUUCGUUGGGAACGAAAUAUGCCGACCUAAUACGUCGGUAGGCUGACGUUACCCAAAUAAGAAGCACCGGCUAACUCUGUGCCAGCAGCCGCGGUAAUACAGAGGGUGCGAGCGUUAAUCGGAAUUACUGGGCGUAAAGCGCACGUAGGCGGCUAUGUAAGUCAGGUGUGAAAUCCCCGGGCUCAACCUGGGAACUGCAUUUGAGACUGCAU